Molecule: ribosomal RNA, 509 nt
Filed under: uncultured Acaulospora
Lineage: Eukaryota; Fungi; Glomeromycota; Glomeromycetes; Diversisporales; Acaulosporaceae
Description: SSU rRNA
Rfam family: Eukaryotic small subunit ribosomal RNA
Source: RNAcentral
AGCAGCCGCGGUAAUUCCAGCUCCAAUAGCGUAUAUUAAAGUUGUUGCAGUUAAAAAGCUCGUAGUUGAAUUUCGGGAUUUGUCAGUUGGUCGGGCUUCACUGUCCGUACUAACUUGAUGGAUUCUUACCUUCUGAAUAACCAGCAUGCUAUUUAGUUAGUGCGUUGGGAAGCAGAUCUAUUACCUUGAAAAAAUUAGAGUGCUUAAAGCGGGCUAGUGCUUGAAUAGAUUAGCAUGGAAUAAUAAAAUAGGACGGCAUGGUUCUAUUUUGUUGGUUUCUAGGAUCACCGUAAUGAUUAAUAGGGAUAGUUGGGGGCAUUAGUAUUCAAUUGUCAGAGGUGAAAUUCUUGGAUUUAUUGAAGACUAACUUCUGCGAAAGCAUUUGCCGAGGAUGUUUUCAUUAAUCAAGAACGAAAGUUAGGGGAUCGAAGACGAUCAGAUACCGUCGUAGUCUUAACCAUAAACUAUGCCGACUAGGAAUCGGACGAAGUUAAUUUUAUAAUGACUCG